GUGUGGCUAAGAUAAGAAAAAGAAUCUCUCCUAAAAUGUGCAUGUUUUGCUAAAAAUAUUAACUGAUUGUGUUCUGCUAUUUUACACUCUAAGAUAACGGAAGACACCUGCUAUGUCUUAAUAUGUUAUUGAUAAAUGAACUUUAAAUAAUUGUUUUGAUUGGAGCGCAAAAUGAGUCGUAUAUAUGUAGCUUUUGCAUGACUAGUAUAUAAUUAUGAGGAAAUUUAUAAAGGGUUUUAUUGACCAAAUAAGUACAUUAUUGCCAAAAAUGACUGUUUAUUAUAAACCCUAACUGGGCUUAAUACAGACAAACUGGGCAUUAAUACAGGGCCAUUACAGAAAAACAGGGCCAUUACAGAAAAAACAGGACCAUUACAGAAAAACAGUGUUAAUAUCAAAUAUAAUAAAUUUAACAUGGCCGCCGAUUUUCAAAACGGAUCGCCCCGAAAAAAAAUCAUCAUUAUUUCAUUCUAUAAAAUAUGGUUAUGCAAUGGUUUUCGUAAAAUCAAUAUUUUUGAAAUAGACUAUAAGUUUCAAAAACAGUAGAGAGUACAUCAAGUUGGCAGCAACACAUACACUUUUGUUCAGUUGGUUAAUACAUGUAUUAAGAAAUGAGUGUUUUUAUAAUGGCCCUGUUAUAUGUCCUCGGUCAGUAAUAAUGGCCUCAGAUGUCUGUAAUGUACCUCGGCGUUGCCUCGGGUCAUUACAGAAUUCCUCAACCAUUAUUACAGACCUUGGAC
RNAcentral lists this long non-coding RNA (740 nucleotides) under Mytilus galloprovincialis (Mediterranean mussel). The record is from RNAcentral. Lineage: Eukaryota; Metazoa; Mollusca; Bivalvia; Mytilida; Mytilidae.